Molecule: non-coding RNA, 483 nt
Filed under: Pongo abelii (Sumatran orangutan)
Lineage: Eukaryota; Metazoa; Chordata; Mammalia; Primates; Hominidae
Source: RNAcentral
CCGAGCCCCAUGGAGCAGGCAAGCGCCGGAGUCCCGGGGCCGAGGCCCGGUCGGCGGGCGCUCUGGCACCUUUUCCCGCCCCCGAGGGUGCCUGUCCGGCCCGGCCGGGACUGGCUGGGAAACCGAGGCCGGAAGAGGUCGCAGUCCAGCAAGGAAUCGAUACCUGAAUGGAGUGUUCUCUUGCUCUCUUCAGGGAAUUUUGUCUGGUUCAAGAAGUCAUACCCCAGCCCAAGAGAAGCCCUGGACAUCUCUCAAGACAUCCAAGGGACAGAGCUCCUGGGAGACCUAGAGUGAGCUGGAAAGUGAACAACAGACCCCACUGGGAAGUAACCAGCCCUGGAUUCUGCCUCUUGCUAACUGAUUCAUUUUGAACCCUGUUUUUCUAUCUGUCCAAGGGACUGUAACUCCCCUGCUCCUGCCUAGAUUCUCAUACCUGGAGACUAGGGGGCUAAGACCCCUUCUAGAGAUAAAAAUAAAAGUCAU